RNAcentral lists this ribosomal RNA (919 nucleotides) under uncultured Bacillota bacterium. RNAcentral describes it as "bacterial SSU rRNA". It matches the Rfam family "Bacterial small subunit ribosomal RNA", at positions 1 to 917 of the family's 1533-position model. The record is from RNAcentral. Lineage: Bacteria; Bacillati; Bacillota.
UGGAUCCAGACUUUGAUUAUGGCUCAGGACGAACGCUGGCGGCGUGCCUAACACAUGCAAGUCGAACGGAACUGUUUUGAAAGAUUUCUUCGGAAUGAAUUUGAUUUAGUUUAGUGGCGGACGGGUGAGUAACGCGUGAGUAACCUGCCUUCAAGAGGGGGAUAACAUUCUGAAAAGAAUGCUAAUACCGCAUGAUAUAUCGGAACCACAUGGUUUUGAUAUCAAAGAUUUUAUCGCUUGAAGAUGGACUCGCGUCCGAUUAGUUAGUUGGUGAGGUAACGGCUCACCAAGACCGCGAUCGGUAGCCGGACUGAGAGGUUGAACGGCCACAUUGGGACUGAGACACGGCCCAGACUCCUACGGGAGGCAGCAGUGGGGGAUAUUGCGCAAUGGGGGCAACCCUGACGCAGCAACGCCGCGUGAAGGAUGAAGGUUUUCGGAUUGUAAACUUCUUUUAUCAAGGACGAAAAAUGACGGUACUUAAUGAAUAAGCUCCGGCUAACUACGUGCCAGCAGCCGCGGUAAUACGUAGGGAGCAAGCGUUGUCCGGAUUUACUGGGUGUAAAGGGUGCGUAGGCGGCUUUGCGAGUCAGAUGUGAAAUCUAUGGGCUCAACCCAUAAACUGCAUUUGAAACUGUAGAGCUUGAGUGAAGUAGAGGCAGGCGGAAUUCCCCGUGUAGCGGUGAAAUGCGUAGAGAUGGGGAGGAACACCAGUGGCGAAGGCGGCCUGCUGGGCUUUAACUGACGCUGAGGCACGAAAGCGUGGGUAGCAAACAGGAUUAGAUACCCUGGUAGUCCACGCUGUAAACGAUGAUUACUAGGUGUGGGGGGUCUGACCCCUUCCGUGCCGGAGUUAACACAAUAAGUAAUCCACCUGGGGAGUACGGCCGCAAGGUUGCAACUCAAAGGAAUUGACGGA